RNAcentral lists this ribosomal RNA (253 nucleotides) under uncultured bacterium. Its description in RNAcentral is "partial 16S ribosomal RNA". It matches the Rfam family "Bacterial small subunit ribosomal RNA", at positions 524 to 776 of the family's 1533-position model. The record is from RNAcentral.
UACGGAGGGUGCAAGCGUUGCUCGGAAUUACUGGGCGUAAAGCGUACGCAGGCGGCGCAUCAAGUCGGAUGUGAAAGCCCUGGGCUCAACCCAGGAACUGCAUUCGAAACUGGUGCACUUGAGUCCGAGAGAGGGUGGUGGAAUUCCUGGUGUAGAGGUGAAAUUCGUUGAGAUCAGGAGGAACAUCAGCGGCGAAGGCGGCCACCUGGCUCGGUACUGACGCUCAUGUACGAAAGCGUGGGUAGCAAACAGG